UGAAAUAGCUCAGCUGGUAGAGCAGCUCCCUCGUAAAGAGCAGGUCGGGGGUUCGAAUCCCUUUUUCAGC
RNAcentral lists this transfer RNA (70 nucleotides) under human gut metagenome. It matches the Rfam family "tRNA". Rfam says of the family: Transfer RNA (tRNA) molecules are approximately 80 nucleotides in length. Their secondary structure includes four short double-helical elements and three loops (D, anti-codon, and T loops). RNAcentral also lists the same sequence under 1 other name. The record is from RNAcentral.